UACGGGAGGCAGCAGUGGGGAAUAUUGCACAAUGGGCGCAAGCCUGAUGCAGCCAUGCCGCGUGUAUGAAGAAGGCCUUCGGGUUGUAAAGUACUUUCAGCAGUGAGGAAGGUGGGUAUGUUAAUAGCAUACUCAUUUGACGUUAGCUGCAGAAGAAGCACCGGCUAACUCCGUGCCAGCAGCCGCGGUAAUACGGAGGGUGCGAGCGUUAAUCGGAAUUACUGGGCGUAAAGCGCAUGCAGGUGGUUUGUUAAGUCAGAUGUGAAAGCCCGGGGCUCAACCUCGGAAUUGCAUUUGAAACUGGCAAACUAGAGUACUGUAGAGGGGGUAGAAUUUCAGGUGUAGCGGUGAAAUGCGUAGAGAUCUGAAGGAAUACCGGUGGCGAAGGCGGCCCCCUGGACAGAUACUGACACUCAGAUGCGAAAGCGUGGGGAGCAAACAGGAUUAGAUACCCUGGUAG
This 460-nucleotide ribosomal RNA is filed under the name uncultured bacterium. RNAcentral's name for it is "bacterial SSU rRNA". It matches the Rfam family "Bacterial small subunit ribosomal RNA", at positions 340 to 793 of the family's 1533-position model. The record is from RNAcentral.